GACGAACCGUGCAAACGUUGUUCGGAAUCACUGGGCUUAAAGGGCGCGUAGGCGGGCAAGCAAGUCGAAGGUGAAAUCCCACGGCUCAACCGUGGAAGUGCCCCCGAUACUGCUUGUCUUGAGGGAGAUAGGGGCGUGCGGAACUUCCGGUGGAGCGGUGAAAUGCGUAGAUAUCGGGAAGAACACCAAUAAGGCGAAGGCAGUUAACUAUUCUACUCCUGACAUUGAGGCAUGAAAGCGUGGGGAGCAAAACGG
This 255-nucleotide ribosomal RNA is filed under the name uncultured bacterium. RNAcentral describes it as "partial 16S ribosomal RNA". It matches the Rfam family "Bacterial small subunit ribosomal RNA", at positions 524 to 776 of the family's 1533-position model. The record is from RNAcentral.